Long non-coding RNA from Aedes aegypti (yellow fever mosquito), 270 nucleotides. RefSeq lists it as uncharacterized. The transcript is spliced from 3 exons. The record is from RefSeq and is a predicted model, not a curated record. NCBI's taxonomy places the organism in Eukaryota, Metazoa, Arthropoda, Insecta, Diptera, Culicidae.
CUAGAUUACCUGUAAGUAAAAUGAAAAUGAAUUAGAUUAUGGUUCAGAAAAUAACGCAAAAAUAUACUUACCCAGCUUGUACCACACGAGAGUCGAAGAAGAACCGUAACCGUAACAUCGCGCUGCAUUGUACGGUUGAUGUUGAAGAGGAGAUAACGGAAGUAGCAAAAGGAUCCGGAAGGAAGUUAUAUCGUAAGGCAGGAGGAAAACUAUUUGAUUUUUGAGCUGCUCCGAAAAGCUGCUACAAAAUAAAUAACGUACCCGAACAAU